Molecule: long non-coding RNA, 249 nt
Organism: Lynx canadensis (Canada lynx)
Lineage: Eukaryota; Metazoa; Chordata; Mammalia; Carnivora; Felidae
Exons: 3
Source: RefSeq, a predicted model, not a curated record
ACAGGAUCAAAGAGUGGAAUGAUGGUUGCCAGAGGCUGGAAGAAGGAGGAAAUGGAAAAUUACUUAUCAACUGACAUAAAGUUCAGUCUCUUCAGCAGGAGGUGAGAACAAUAAAAGGGGGAAAGAACAGCUAUGGAGCAACCAGUCAACUGUACCAACCCUCCUACAAAAUGAUGAACACCAACUCUACUUACCUUCUGGACUCAGAGAGAGAGUGAGACAGAACAUGAACAGGAGAAGAGCAGAGAG